AUGAGACACUUUCUCUUACAAUUUCCCUUUCCUCCAAAUAGCAAGCCCUAUUUACUUGCGGGAAUAGUCACCGACUCUAAGGACCACACCCACUCGCUCAGACGGAAAGAGCUGGCAAAGUUAAGUGCAGCUAUUAUGUGGGCAAACCUUGGAGUUGCUUCCUCCUCCUGCGCUGUCGUGCCAUGUGCUCACCGCUCCCUCUCCACCCAGGCACGUAUGAAGGUACUGCCCCCGGAACCCUCCCCUCCAGGGUCGGGCUGGAGAGGGCCUGGUGACCGAGCGGGGAGGCAGAGCAGUGUCAUGGGAAGUUCCGAGACUGAGGGAGGAGACCCAACCAUCUGUCCCUGGACAGGUCUGAUGGAGGAAAGUUACACAUAUGCACACAAACACACACACACACACACACACACACACACGGGGUUGGGGGGAGAGAGAUGUGCUCAGGACACAAAAGCAUCAGCAAAUGCAUCAGUCCCCUUGGCCCCUGGGAUAAAUGGUUGACCCAAAGGGCAGCUAUUUCACUGUCUUGAAGAUUUUUUGAAAAUUAUGAAGAAAAGCAAGCAAACAAACAAACAAAAAAACCCACAAAAGCUGUGUCCUGGCUCUUGCAGCAACUUGAGUAGUUUUGAGUAUUUUUUCAUCCCUUCCUUUGGGGGAACAAAUUAAAGUUGUGUGUUUAUUUCUGCAAUGUGAAAAACACAAAGAGAAAGCCUCUCCAAAGGAUGAUGCCACUUCCUGUUCCAGAUAUGUGCCAAAAACCACAUGAAAAGGAAAAUACCCUCCAUGCACAGUCUUGGGCAAUAGGCUUGCCUUGUAAUGUUACUUCUAAUUCACUUCUACUUAAACUCACUCAAGGUACGACCCCUUGUCCCACACCACACAAAGUCACUCAAAGACAGGUGAUAAAGGAAUGACUACACUGACACAGCCUCUCAUAGUCAGAGAGAACAUGACUAUUUAUUAGUUAUUUGAAAGGCCCAGAGACACAGAGAAAAAUGAGAGCCAGAGAAAGCAAAAUCUUCCCAUCCAAUGUUCCUUUCUUGGGAACUUAGAUUGAAUUCAUGCCAUGCCGAGUUCCUGGCUUCUGGUACCCAUUGGCAAUCCUUGGCAUGCCUUGGCUUGCAGCUGCCUCACUCCAGUCUUGGAUUUCCCAUUGCAUUCUUCUCUGUGUGAUUUCUCCUCUUUAUUUUAUUUGAAAGGCAAGGGGUGAGGGGAAAAAGAGAAAGAUCUCUCAUUUGCUGGCUGACUCCCCUGGGCCAGGACAAAAUCGGAGACAGGGAGCUCAAUCCAGAUCUACCACUUGGGUAGCAGGGAUCCAAGUAUUCAAGCCAUCAUCUACUGUCUCCUAGGGUGCACAUUAGCAAGAAGCUGGAAUCCGGGUGGAGUCAGGACUCAAGCCCAGGCACUCUGAAAUGGGAGGUGGGGGUCCCAAGCAGUGUUGUUUUUAAAGAUUCAUUUGAAAGGCAGAGUUACAGAGGCAAGAGAGCGAGCAAGAUUGAUCCUCUGUCUACUGGUUCACUCCCGGAACAGCUCAUGGGCUGGAGCCUGGAAUUCCAUCAGGUGUUCACAUAGGUGGCAGAGGGCCGUCCUUUACUUCUUUCCCGAUUGCGUUAGCUGGUUCAGAAUUGGAGCAGCUGGGACUCGAACUGGUUCUCCUAUGGGAUGCCAGCAUCCAGGCUGCAGCUUAACCCACUGUACCCCAAUGCCAGCCACCCCAAACAGUGUUUUAAACACUGCACCAAAUGCCUGGUCCCCUCUUAUAAAGACAGCUGUUGUUGGAUUCAGGGCUCACCUUGAUCUAGAAUAAUCUCAUCUCAAGAUCCAUAACUUAAUCACAUCUACAAAGACUUUUUCUCCAAAUAAAAUCACUCACAAGUUUCA
RNAcentral lists this long non-coding RNA (1881 nucleotides) under Oryctolagus cuniculus (rabbit). RNAcentral's name for it is "lncRNA (ENSOCUG00000035944.1)". Lineage: Eukaryota; Metazoa; Chordata; Mammalia; Lagomorpha; Leporidae. The record is from RNAcentral.